UACGUAGGGGGCAAGCGUUGUCCGGAUUUAUUGGGCGUAAAGAGCGUGUAGGCGGCCUUACAGGUCAGCUGUGAAAACUCGAGGCUCAACCUCGAGACGUCGGUUGAAACCGUAAGGCUAGAGUCCGGAAGAGGAGAGUGGAAUUCCCGGUGUAGCGGUGAAAUGCGCAGAUAUCGGGAAGAACACCCGUGGCGAAGGCGGCUCUCUGGGACGGUACUGACGCUGAGGCGCGAAAGCUAGGGGAGCAAACAGG
RNAcentral lists this ribosomal RNA (253 nucleotides) under uncultured bacterium. RNAcentral describes it as "partial 16S ribosomal RNA". It matches the Rfam family "Bacterial small subunit ribosomal RNA", at positions 524 to 776 of the family's 1533-position model. The record is from RNAcentral.